GUGCAGUAGCCAGGAGGCCAAAAAGAGAGUAGACACAAACACCAGACCACAAGACCCAGCCACUGUAUGUGGACAGCCUUAGUUCCUGGACUGAUAUUUCUCACUUCUGGAGUGAAGGGAAAAUUAAACUGUACACUGAGGGAUGAGCGCCAUCCUGAAGAUCAGAUUCCCAAUCAACUGACGGACUGCAAACAGCUCCACACUGAGCUUCUGAUGGAAUUUCCAAAAAGGCUGUCUAUAUCCAAGACAGCUCCAAAGCUGCUAGCCCCAGGUGGUCCAGCCUCACAGACUGCUCCAAGAUGGCCUUCAUUUCCCUAGCCCCAGAUGGUUCCACAGAGCGUGGACAGCAAGUAAAACAGCCAGCACUCUCCUUUCUCUUUCUUCCUGGUCUUGGCCAGCAUUGCAGCUUUCUUGGGUCCCCAAAAAAGAUGCUGCAGUGUCAACAGGAAGGAAUCAUAGGAAAGAUCACAUCACUUCAUAUCUUUUAUUGUUAACAAAGAGGCCAGGAUGUUAGUAUCAAACUCCAGAAAAGUGGCUAACUGAGGUGCCUAUCAAAGUGGACCUGACCUCUAGGUUCUUCUAGCAUCCCUAAGUAACUACUUGUUAGAGUGUGUGGUUGACAUACCCUUCCCCUCUACCCUAGACUUCUCCAGUCCAGAAGCAGGGCUCACCUUCCCUAUACAGUCCUGCCAUUUUGGUUGUCUGGCCCUUUUUGCCUAUCCUUUGCCUUCCUUGGUCUCCUGGCUCUCCCCUCCAUGCUCUUCUCACAUGGCCUGGCUCAGGAUCAUGUUCACUCUGGACUCAGAUGUCUCUGCCUCUGGCUAUGUUCUCUCUUUUAUCUACAGUAAGCCUCCACCAUACCUGGGAGCAUUCAUGUCCUGCUUUUUUAUUUGUUAGGAAAGAAAAUUGUUUCCUUUCUUUCUCUUUUUCUCCCUCUCUCCUCUCUCUCUCUUUCUCCCCCACUCUCUCUCC
Molecule: long non-coding RNA, 972 nt
Organism: Mesocricetus auratus (golden hamster)
Lineage: Eukaryota; Metazoa; Chordata; Mammalia; Rodentia; Cricetidae
Exons: 4
Source: RefSeq, a predicted model, not a curated record